GCGCCUGUAGCUCAGCGGAUAGAGCAAUGGUCUACGAAACCAAAGGUCGGAGGUUCGAAUCCUCUCAGGCGCGCCA
Molecule: transfer RNA, 76 nt
Filed under: Actinobacteria bacterium ADurb.Bin346
Lineage: Bacteria; Bacillati; Actinomycetota
Description: tRNA-Arg
Rfam family: tRNA
About the family: Transfer RNA (tRNA) molecules are approximately 80 nucleotides in length. Their secondary structure includes four short double-helical elements and three loops (D, anti-codon, and T loops).
Source: RNAcentral